CCUCAGCAGGGGAAAGAGAAGCUACCCAGACCUACACACCUUUGUGCAGGACAUGAAGGACGACCAUUGGAAUCUGCUGAGUGAGAAUAUGCGUGUCGGGAUGAGCAGACAUGAGUUUAGUGCCAAGUGCAUGGAUAUUGUAGCAUGGGUGAUGGAGUCUACAUCCACUGUGGUUGUUCC
Molecule: long non-coding RNA, 180 nt
Organism: Coregonus clupeaformis (lake whitefish)
Lineage: Eukaryota; Metazoa; Chordata; Actinopteri; Salmoniformes; Salmonidae
Exons: 3
Source: RefSeq, a predicted model, not a curated record